AGUUUCUGCGAAAUUUCGCAGAAAGACUAUAUUGUUGAGAGGAAACUUCCUCUUAAUUUCCCAUACCACUUACUUCUUGUCCUCUUAUCCUCUCCCUCUCUCUACAAAAAUCUCCAUGAUCAUACUGUUCGGCUUUUUUAGCAAAUCGUUCUCUCCAUCUCUAAUGUCCACAGAAUCAAUUUUCUCUCCGUCGGUUUCGGGUGAUUAGUUAGUCAAGCAACGCUUUCAUUUCACCAAAAUAACAGCUGUGUAUUUUUCAUCGUCGUUAUUGUUUCCGUUUUCCGUUCUUAUUUUGGAUCCCUCAGCUUCCGCUUCAUUCAAGUCUCUCAGCAUGUUUCAACAUCAACAACCAUCGGGAAAUGCCAACAAUCAUUCUCCCAACAACCACCGCCACCACAACCACCACUAUCACGGUGAGGAGGCCGCCGGCGGCCCCGGCUCCGCCAAGUUUGGGGACCAUGAAUCGUCAGGCGAUCCCUUUGUUAUUCCGCAAACCAAAAAUGCCUCUCUCGAGAAGCGAUGGAGGGUAAUUACAUUCCAAUGCCAUUGUUGCCUUUUUAUCGUUUCAUAUUUAUUUAUUUAUUUAUCUAUCUAUAUAUGCAUUUAGCAAUGUAACAUUCUUUUAGUGUAAGACUUUUAGGGAUUUAUUAAUGCACGUGAUAAAAACUGCGACAUGUUCUUUUUGACCUCAUGAUAGAGAACAAUUACGCUUUAUACAAUGUUUUUUUUGUUAGAUAGCUUCUAGAUCUGAUUGUAAAAAUCGAAAUAUUUUGGUUUUGGUCUCUUAUUUUAGCUGGGAUUCUGGUGUUUUAAUUAUUAUGGUUUACGUAUUUAUUUUGGGAUGAA
Quercus lobata is the source of this 846-nucleotide long non-coding RNA. RefSeq lists it as uncharacterized. The transcript has 2 exons. The record is from RefSeq and is a predicted model, not a curated record. Lineage: Eukaryota; Viridiplantae; Streptophyta; Magnoliopsida; Fagales; Fagaceae.